This 497-nucleotide ribosomal RNA is filed under the name uncultured bacterium. RNAcentral's name for it is "partial 16S ribosomal RNA". It matches the Rfam family "Bacterial small subunit ribosomal RNA", at positions 28 to 507 of the family's 1533-position model. The record is from RNAcentral.
GAUGAACGCUGGCGGCGUGCCUAAUACAUGCAAGUCGAGCGAACAGACUAGGAGCUUGCUCCUCUUACGUUAGCGGCGGACGGGUGAGUAACACGUGGAUAACCUACCUAUAAGACUGGGAUAACUUCGGGAAACCGGAGCUAAUACCGGAUAAUAUCUUUAACCGCAUGGUUCAAUAGUGAAAGACGGUUUUGCUGUCACUUAUAGAUGUAUCCGCUCCGCAUUAGCUAGUUGGUAAGGUAACGGCUUACCAAGGCGACGAUGCGUAGCCGACCUGAGAGGGUGAUCGGCCACACUGGAACUGAGAAACGGUCCAGACUCCUAAGGGAGGCAGAAGUAGGGAAUCUUCCGAAAUGGGCGAAAGCCUGACGGAGAAACGCCGCGUGAGUGAUGAAGGUCUUCGGAUCGUAAAACUCUGUUAUUAGGGAAGAACAAAUGUGUAAGUAAAUAUGCACGUCUUGACGGUACCUAAUCAGAAAGCCACGGCUAACUACGUG